This is a non-coding RNA of Pelobates cultripes (western spadefoot toad), 240 nucleotides long. NCBI's taxonomy places the organism in Eukaryota, Metazoa, Chordata, Amphibia, Anura, Pelobatidae. The record is from the annotation of a GenBank genome assembly.
CUAGCAUCGGGGAGAGCGGCCGCCUCUCCCUAGCUCCAGCUCUGGUAGACCGCGGUACAGCGUUGCAUUCUCCCGGCUGCGACGGGCUAGAGUGAGGUGUCAGUUGCUUGAACAGAGCACCCACAACAAGGGUAGUGCACCACAGUGGAUAUGCUGGCUCUUGAGCCUCAGAUUGUGCCCCAAAAUCUGCUCGUUAGGUGGGAGCUCGCUCUGCAGGCGUUCGCUCUGCUCGGAGGUCAG